AACAUUUGCCUUGAGUACCCUAUUGUCAAUAGAGAUAUUAAUGUAUCUCUGACUUACAUCUGCAAGAUGUCUUAUCAAAGAGUUAUUUGCGACUCUUAAUAGUGAGACAUGUAUUGUUUUAGCAGCGGUCAUCAGAUUCCUUGCUCACGUAGUAUGCAAUAUUCAUCUUGAGAAGUAAAAUAGUGUUUAAAAUAUCAGACCUGCUCCUCUAGUUCCUUCGUAUGAGCUGCUUUUCUACUCCUUGAGCGUCUCGCCGAAUCCCUGUUAGAUUCUUUCCUGAAAUCAUAUGAGGAAUCUGCUUAAAAGGCGGAACUUGAGGGCUAAACGACAACAAAAAUAUAUGCUCACAAAUGUUUGCCAAAUAUGAUAAUUGGUAUUGGUGUAUUUGGCAUACAAUGUAAUUAAACGUAAAAUGUUCAUUAACGUGCAUGAGACAUGCACACCCAUUUCAAUAAGAAGAGGGG
Molecule: long non-coding RNA, 464 nt
Filed under: Triticum aestivum (bread wheat)
Lineage: Eukaryota; Viridiplantae; Streptophyta; Magnoliopsida; Poales; Poaceae
Description: long non-coding RNA (TAES_LNC025107)
Source: RNAcentral